GUGCCAGCCGCCGCGGUAAUACGUAGGGCGCAAGCGUUGUCCGGAAUUAUUGGGCGUAAAGAGCUUGUAGGUGGCUUGUCGCGUCUGCCGUGAAAACCCGAGGCUCAACCUCGGGCGUGCGGUGGGUACGGGCAGGCUAGAGUGUGGUAGGGGAGACUGGAACUCCUGGUGUAGCGGUGAAAUGCGCAGAUAUCAGGAAGAACACCGAUGGCGAAGGCAGGUCUCUGGGCCAUUACUGACACUGAGAAGCGAAAGCAUGGGGAGCGAACAGGAUUAGAUACCCGCGUAGUCC
This 292-nucleotide ribosomal RNA is filed under the name uncultured bacterium. RNAcentral's name for it is "partial 16S ribosomal RNA". It matches the Rfam family "Bacterial small subunit ribosomal RNA", at positions 505 to 796 of the family's 1533-position model. The record is from RNAcentral.